RNAcentral lists this ribosomal RNA (561 nucleotides) under Talisman scrobilator scrobilator. RNAcentral's name for it is "Bursa scrobilator scrobilator partial small subunit ribosomal RNA". The record is from RNAcentral. Lineage: Eukaryota; Metazoa; Mollusca; Gastropoda; Littorinimorpha; Bursidae. RNAcentral also lists the same sequence under 1 other name.
UACCAAGAGAUCAAGUUAUGUACAUUAAGGUAAAAAGGCAGUUAAAUACAGAAAUUAAGUGUUGGUUUACUUAUUUUUUAUAGAAAGGUAAAAUUUAGAUAUAAAAAAAUAAUUUAACGUAAACUAACUGAAAUUGAAUCUGCGAUAGCCUUGAGGGAAACUGGGAUUAGAUACCCCAUUAUUCAUGGUCGUAAAUAAAUAAAGAUUUACCAGAGUACUAUGAAUCAAUUUAAUAAAAUUUAAAACUCAAAGAGCUUGGCGGUGUUUUAGACCUCUCAGGGGAACCUGUCUCGUAAUCGACAAUCCACGUCAAACCUAACCUUUAUUUGCAAUUCAGUUUGUAUACCGUCGUCGUCAGGUAACUUUUAAAAAAUAAGAAGUUGGCAAAGAAAUUAUUAAAUUUAAACGUCAGAUCAAGGUGCAGCCUAUAUAAAGGUGAGGAUGGGUUACAAUUAAGAUUUAUAAUUACGGAUAAGAUAAUGAAAUACUUUUUCUAAUGAAGGAGGACUUGAAAGUAAAAUAAAUUUAUAUAAGCAAUUUGAAUAAGGCUCUGAAACGUGC